CAGCCGUAAACUAUGCGCGUUAGGUGUAUCGGUGACCACGAGUUACCGAGGUGCCGAAGGGAAACCGUGAAACGUGCCGCCUGGGAAGUACGGUCGCAAGGCUGAAACUUAAAGGAAUUGGCGGGGGAGCACCACAACAGGUGGAGCCUGCGGGUUUAAUUGGACUCAACGCCGGGAAGCUCACCGGAUAGGACAGCAGAAUGAUUGCCGGGCUGAAGACUCUGCAUGACUAGCUGAGAGGAGGUGCAUGGCGUGUGACUGU
Molecule: ribosomal RNA, 262 nt
Filed under: uncultured archaeon
Lineage: Archaea
Description: partial 16S ribosomal RNA
Rfam family: Archaeal small subunit ribosomal RNA
Source: RNAcentral